GGGUCAUCUGUCAGGAUAUCGGGGGAUGGGAUAGAUGGAGAAGAAUCUACAUAUCAUUUGCAACAAACCAGCCAUGAGUUUUGCUUGAUGAUGAAAGGAUAGAAGGUGUUGCACUGGAACAAAAAGCUCCGCUAUCCAACUAAAUCGAUGUGAAAAUGUGGCAGGUUGAAAGAAGACUACAUCAAAAAAUAUUUUAAAUUCUGUAAUACAAAUAUCUGGGAACAAAAGAUGUUUGAGCAGGCGAAGAAUGCCUCUACUUUUAAGGCUGGGUUAAAACGUUUUCCCAUUUCUUUCAACAGUUGAUGCUAGGGUUUAUCUUGAUUGUUACCCAUUGAAGUUCAAUUGGAACCUUUGCUCAAAGUCAUCAUCACCACUCCAUAGCCAGAGCCCAUGAAAAAGCUACCAUUUUGAAUGUUUCUGUUCCCUGUUGCACUAACAGAGAAAGAGAUUAUGUGGCAAAUUAUCCCAUUGGCUCUUUAAAGUAUGUACAGAAGUUAAACCUGGCCAAAGCAGGUCUAAUGGCCACUGCAAACUUCAAAGAACAUGGAAACAAGACAUUCUACUCUGCAUGUGCCUACAAGAAUGAACAUUGUAGGUAUUGUGAAGAACACUAAUGACUCCCACACUUAAGAGGAGAAAGAGAGAGAGAUGGUGUGGGGGAAAUAGUGAGAGGAGAAAGAAGACAGGUAAUAAGACAUUUUGAUCAUAGAGACUUGUUCACUUGACAGAAAUCCAUUCCUUGUGUGGAAAUCGCACCUAUCUCCCUGAAGUUUUCUUUUAAUUAAACUUCCUUGGUGGUUAUCAAGGAUCUUAGCAUUAUUUUGCCUGCAAGUUUAUCUAAGAGAAAGAGAGAAUGAGACACGCACACACACACACACACACAGAGAGGAGAUAAAAUUCAUUGAAAUAAAACCAAAAGAAUGUUAAUGAAAGUAAAACAGAAAACAUUGAAUUUGAGGUCCACUACCUUAUUUGCAUCAAGUUCAGCUUAAUUUACAUUAUUCUCAUGUAGUGCUCAUCCAUCGUGUUAUAGAUUACAUUAUAAUUAUAUAACGUAUAUUUAAUGGACAGUAACGAGUUAAAGAUAAAAGUGCUGAGAGAGUGUUUCUCUUGUUCUCUGCCAGCCGUAGGCCUUUGAUAUAUGGCUACUUUGAUUUAAAGAAACAGAGAACAUAUAAAUAAAGGAUUUUCUUAGUUUCUCGAUGAGAACUGUCUUCUUUGUGGAACUACACAGAAGUUAGCCGUUUCCUAUCCAAAAAAAUAGAUUUUCUUGUGGGUUAGAUAAAUAAUUUCUCCUACAACACAGAAGGAGAGAGAGAAAGCUUCAGAAAGACACAAGGCAUCAGAAUACAUCAUAAAGAGUGUAUUCCCUCAGCAAAGAAGCUAGUGAUGCAAAGAAAAAGGUUCAUGAUAUAAGAUCCAAAGCAACUGAAGGCUCAAUGGCAGGAAUAGAACUCAAGGUGGUAAAGAGUGUGUGGUGUACAGACAGCAAAAGAUAGGACAAUUUAAUCAAUGAAUUAGAAAAAGAACAGUUUAAAGAGAAGAAAGAAAGAAAAAGGAAACCAGUGGGUUCUUGAAGAUUGGACAAAGCACUGCAAAUCUAGUAAAAUCGUAAUAAAUAUCAAUCUGCCACCUUCAGAAGGAGCAUCAUAGAAGGCUAAAAUACUUCCUCUCAUAGGCAGUGGCUGUACAAAAGCUUCUGAAGAGACUUUAGCAGGAAUGAGGACACCAAGGAAAGUGUUAAAUUCAAAAAUAAGGGUAUACAAUCAAAAAGCUCAUAAACCGAUGCUUUUGAAUAAUGCUUUCAGAAAGAACAUCUAUAAUUUGGAGAUUAAAUGUUGUGCUUUGAAAAAGACCUGUAUGAACCUUCCAUAAGAGAGCACUUCCAAAAUAUAUUUGUCAACAUGUGAAAGCUGGAACCGAGCACUGAUUAAUCAAUCAUAUACAACAGAUUAGUUAUUGAUGAAGAGUUGGUUCACAGACCUAAAUGUAAAAUGCAAAACUAUGAAUCAGGAAGAUAGCACAGGAGAAAACCUGCAAGACCUUGGAUUGGGUGAUGACUUUUUAAAUACAACAUUAAAAGCAGGAUCCACGAAAGAAAACAAUGGAACGUGAGUUAGAGGUGAACCCCUUAAGACGAGCACAACAGCUUCUAUGGUCUAGAUCCAUUUCUUCUACUCCUGGAUGAUGAAAUUCUUCACCUGUGGAGAAUAGAGAUUGAAUAUUGCUACAGAUUGUGAGGCCGUCUAUCAUAUUUGUCAAACACUAUCAAGAUUCAAUUGUGGGACACAAUCUUACUUUGAUGAUCACAUGCAUAUUUUCUAGGUUUAGAAAGCUUCAAAGAGUGUAACUCCUACUCUGGAAACAAACAAAGCCAGAUGGAACAAAAACCAUAACUUUUCUUGGAACUAUAAAAGAACUGAAUUUGUAGGACAGCCAAAUAGCCUGAAAUAUAAGGAGAGAUAGAUAUCUCCAAAUAGAGAUAUGAUAUGAACACUGGCUUACCAGUGGCAGAGCAUAAGAGGAAGAGACUCUGAAGAAUAUAAAAAUAACCAAAAAAAUAAUUUAAAUUAAUGGCUAAUGUAUGGGUAAGCACGACAGCCACAGAAAUCCUACUGUAGAACAGUAAGAGAUAUCUGGAACAUCUCCAAAUAUUUGGAAAUUAAACAAUAUAGUCAUAAAAAUCAAAGGCCAAAGAAAGUCACACAGUAAAUGGGAAAAUAUUUUUGAAUUGAAAUAAAAUUAAAUGCAACAUAUCAAAAUUUGUGGGAUACAGCUAAAGCAACACUCAGAGCAAAGUUAGAGGUCUUAAUCAAUGACCUAAUUUUCUACCCUUAGAAGGCAAGGAAAAGAAGAGCAAAGUAUGCCCAAAGCAAGUGGAAGAAAGGAAAUAAUGAAGUUUUUUUCUCUGGAGUGCCUUCCUAUACUGAAAAGACAUUGUCCGUAAAUCAGAUUCCACAAAUUACUCCAUUGGUAUGGAGUGAUAUCUCAUCAUAAUUCUAAUUUGCACUUUUCCUAAUGACUGAAGAUGUCAUCUCAUGUGCCCGCUAACUAUACAGUUCUCAACUUAAGAUCAAUUCAUGACUUCAGGAGAUUGAAACAGGAAAACCUGAGCAUUGGCACCAUGAUUUCUAAGAAUCCUUCUUUCUUAGCUUAAACAGAUCAUCUGGGUUUAAUUCUUAAAUAUCCAUAUGUAAUUGGAUUUUUGGUUAUGGCCCAAAGUAAACUGAAAACUUUAAGACCUGAGCCAAGAUCUAACUCAUAUUAGUCUGGAGAUGAGAAACACAUCAUUUCUUUAUGAAAUGUUGAAUAAUAGAUAUUUUGUUAAUGAAAAUAUUAAAUCUCAUUUCAUAUGUAAAUUAUGAAUAAAUAUGGAGUAAAUCCUACUCAGUGUUAAAGCUAUGUUGUAUGAAAAAUGAUCUAGCUUAUGUAUCAUUGAAUGAAUCUGAAAGUAAUACGUGAAUUCAUACAAACAAAAACAAAGAAACUUCAUUUUUUUCUCCAAUUUAUAAAAUUAAGUUUCUAGAGAAAAAACUUGACUUUGUAUCACAAAGCAAACUGUAGACUUCUGAAUAAUACUGAUGAUCUGGAGGCAAGUGUCUUGUGUGAAUGGUAAUAGCUGCUAAGGGCUUCGGGAAUGAUUUUCAGAAUGUUGUAAAACUAUGAACACAAAAUUUAGCUGUGAUUUUUAUUUUAUUUUAUUUUAUUUUAUUAUUUUAUGAGUUGUGAUUUUAAAAAUGUGUACCAAUUAAAAUACAAUUCCUCAGAAUUAUCAUCA
Molecule: long non-coding RNA, 3778 nt
Organism: Canis lupus familiaris (dog)
Lineage: Eukaryota; Metazoa; Chordata; Mammalia; Carnivora; Canidae
Exons: 14
Source: RefSeq, a predicted model, not a curated record